CUUGCUGCUUCGCUGACGAGUGGCGGACGGGUGAGUAAUGUCUGGGAAACUGCCUGAUGGAGGGGGAUAACUACUGGAAACGGUAGCUAAUACCGCAUAACGUCGCAAGACCAAAGAGGGGGACCUUCGGGCCUCUUGCCAUCGGAUGUGCCCAGAUGGGAUUAGCUUGUUGGUGGGGUAACGGCUCACCUAGGCGACGAUCCCUAGCUGGUCUGAGAGGAUGACCAGCCACACUGGAACUGAGACACGGUCCAGACUCCUACGGGAGGCAGCAGUGGGGAAUAUUGCACAAUGGGCGCAAGCCUGAUGCAGCCAUGCCGCGUGUAUGAAGAAGGCCUUCGGGUUGUAAAGUACUUUCAGCGGGGAGGAAGGGAGUAAAGUUAAUACCUUUGCUCAUUGACGUUACCCGCAGAAGAAGCACCGGCUAACUCCGUGCCAGCAGCCGCGGUAAUACGGAGGGUGCAAGCGUUAAUCGGAAUUACUGGGCGUAAAGCGCACGCAGGCGGUUUGUUAAGUCAGAUGUGAAAUCCCCGGGCUCAACCUGGGAACUGCAUCUGAUACUGGCAAGCUUGAGUCUCGUAGAGGGGGGUAGAAUUCCAGGUGUAGCGGUGAAAUGCGUAGAGAUCUGGAGGAAUACCGGUGGCGAAGGCGGCCCCCUGGACGAAGACUGACGCUCAGGUGCGAAAGCGUGGGGAGCAAACAGGAUUAGAUACCCUGGUAGUCCACGCCGUAAACGAUGUCGACUUGGAGGUUGUGCCCUUGAGGCGUGGCUUCCGGAGCUAACGCGUUAAGUCGACCGCCUGGGGAGUACGGCCGCAAGGUUAAAACUCAAAUGAAUUGACGGGGGCCCGCACAAGCGGUGGAGCAUGUGGUUUAAUUCGAUGCAACGCGAAGAACCUUACCUGGUCUUGACAUCCACAGAACUUUCCAGAGAUGGAUUGGUGCCUUCGGGAACUGUGAGACAGGUGCUGCAUGGCUGUCGUCAGCUCGUGUUGUGAAAUGUUGGGUUAAGUCCCGCAACGAGCGCAACCCUUAUCCUUUGUUGCCAGCGGUCCGGCCGGGAACUCAAAGGAGACUGCCAGUGAUAAACUGG
RNAcentral lists this ribosomal RNA (1093 nucleotides) under Escherichia coli. Its description in RNAcentral is "bacterial SSU rRNA". It matches the Rfam family "Bacterial small subunit ribosomal RNA", at positions 79 to 1166 of the family's 1533-position model. Lineage: Bacteria; Pseudomonadati; Pseudomonadota; Gammaproteobacteria; Enterobacterales; Enterobacteriaceae. The record is from RNAcentral.